CCUAGGGCGGCAGCAGUGGGGAAUAUUGGACAAUGGGCGAAAGCCUGAUCCAGCCAUGCCGCGUGUGUGAAGAAGGCCUUCGGGUUGUAAAGCACUUUCAGUGGGGAAGAAAGCCUUGGGGCUAAUACCCUCGAGGAAGGACAUCACCCACAGAAGAAGCACCGGCUAACUCCGUGCCAGCAGCCGCGGUAAUACGGAGGGUGCGAGCGUUAAUCGGAAUUACUGGGCGUAAAGCGCGCGUAGGCGGUCUGAUAAGCCGGUUGUGAAAGCCCCGGGCUCAACCUGGGAACGGCAUCCGGAACUGUCAGGCUAGAGUGCAGGAGAGGAAGGUAGAAUUCCCGGUGUAGCGGUGAAAUGCGUAGAGAUCGGGAGGAAUACCAGUGGCGAAGGCGGCCUUCUGGACUGACACUGACGCUGAGGUGCGAAAGCGUGGGUAGCAAACAGGAUUAGAUACCCCGGUAGUC
RNAcentral lists this ribosomal RNA (464 nucleotides) under Vreelandella stevensii. RNAcentral describes it as "partial 16S ribosomal RNA". It matches the Rfam family "Bacterial small subunit ribosomal RNA", at positions 338 to 795 of the family's 1533-position model. The record is from RNAcentral. Lineage: Bacteria; Pseudomonadati; Pseudomonadota; Gammaproteobacteria; Oceanospirillales; Halomonadaceae.